This 29-nucleotide non-coding RNA is filed under the name Rattus norvegicus (Norway rat). Lineage: Eukaryota; Metazoa; Chordata; Mammalia; Rodentia; Muridae. The record is from RNAcentral.
UGUUUGUUUGUUUUUAAAUUUGGGUAGCA